GAUGAAGAACGCAGCGAAAUGCGAUAAGUAAUGUGAAUUGCAGAAUUCAGUGAAUCAUCGAAUCUUUGAACGCACAUUGCGCCCGCCAGUAUUCUGGCGGGCAUGCCUGUUCGAGCGUCAUUACAACCCUCAGGCCCCCGGGCCUGGCGUUGGGGAUCGGCGGAGCCCCCCGUGGGCACACGCCGUCCCCCAAAUACAGUGGCGGUCCCGCCGCAGCUUCCAUCGCGUAGUAGCUAACACCUCGCAACUGGAGAGCGGCGCGGCCAUGCCGUAAAACACCCAACUUCUGAAUGUUGACCUCGAAUCAGGUAGGAAUACCCGCUGAACUUAAGCAUAUCAAUAAGCGGAGGA
RNAcentral lists this unclassified non-coding RNA (351 nucleotides) under soil metagenome. RNAcentral's name for it is "partial contains 5.8S ribosomal RNA, internal transcribed spacer 2, and large subunit ribosomal RNA". The stretch from base 1 to 120 matches the Rfam family "5.8S ribosomal RNA", at positions 35 to 154 of the family's 154-position model. The record is from RNAcentral.